UAGGGGGAGCUCGGCCAAAACAUUGGGUUAGGAGGGGGUGGGAGGGGUAAUCCGUUUGAUCCAACGUCAGAUCCCACCACUGACUCCCUUGAACAAGGGCUAUCAAAUGAGGCCUUCUCCCAGCAAGCUGUAUGAAAUUGGAGAUUCCACUUACCUUCUGCCUCUUAAAAUUAGACAAGCCCUCCACACAGCAAGAGAAUAAGUGGCAAGCAUGUGGACAGCUCUUUCUGAGCUGGAUGAUUUAGUGAAGCAGCUGUGGGGGACACAGGAGGGGAGAUUUGGAAGAAGGACGCAGUGGGCUGAGGGAGGACUAUUCACCCCCUAUUUGCAAUGCUGGAGUUAUUACUUUCUUGCCUAUGGUGUUAAAGGGACUGUGAACCUCAGCCCAUUUUGUGGUCAUAAAUCAGCAACUUGGAGGAAGUACCUGGUAUGUUUGCAGUCAGGACACUAAUGAGUAUGGACAGUGAAGUCCUCUAUUGUCGCACAUGCUCCAUGAGGACCUGGGGAUGUUCUCAGCCAGCAAGGACCAGCGGGAUGGCUGCUUCUUCCUCAAGCAUCCCUCAGUGAGACCUCAGGGAGCCCCAAGUGCCUCUCUCCAAGUUCCUAUGACAUGCAUUUGCCUUUAUUCUUACUUCCUUCUUUCUGUCUCCCUCACAUUUUAUCUACCCCUGUCUUUCUUCUGUCAUCCC
This 689-nucleotide long non-coding RNA is filed under the name Homo sapiens (human). Its description in RNAcentral is "HSALNT0242792". The record is from RNAcentral. Lineage: Eukaryota; Metazoa; Chordata; Mammalia; Primates; Hominidae.